UCUCCGUUGGUGAACCAGCGGAGGGAUCAUUACAGAGUUGCGAAACUCCCACAAACCAUCGCGAAUCUUACCCGUACGGUUGCCUCGGCGCUGGCGGUCCGGAAGGCCCUCGGGCCCCCCGGAUCCUCGGGUCUCCCGCUCGCGGGAGGCUGCCCGCCGGAGUGCCGAAACCAAACUCUUGAUAUUUUAUGUCUCUCUGAGUAAACUUUUAAAUAAGUCAAAACAUUCAACAACGGAUCUCUUGGUUCUG
Molecule: unclassified non-coding RNA, 250 nt
Filed under: plant metagenome
Description: partial contains small subunit ribosomal RNA, internal transcribed spacer 1, and 5.8S ribosomal RNA
Source: RNAcentral